This 440-nucleotide ribosomal RNA is filed under the name uncultured bacterium. Its description in RNAcentral is "partial 16S ribosomal RNA". It matches the Rfam family "Bacterial small subunit ribosomal RNA", at positions 338 to 795 of the family's 1533-position model. The record is from RNAcentral.
CCUACGGGUGGCAGCAGUGGGGCAUAUUGCACAAUGGGGGAAACCCUGAUGCAGCGACGCCGCGUGAGUGAAGAAGUAAUUCGUUAUGUAAAGCUCUAUCAUCAGGGAAGAAAAUGACGGUACCUGCGUAAGCAGCCCCGGCUAACUACGUGCCAGCAGCCGCGGUCAUACGUAGGGGGCAAGCGUUAUCCGGAUUUACUGGGGGUAACGGGAGCGUAGACGGCAGUGCAAGUCUGGGGUGAAAGGGGGGGGCUCAACCCCCGGACUGCACUGGAAACUGUACGGCUGGAGUGCAGGAGAGGUAAGUGGAAUUCCUAGUGUAGCGGUGAAAUGCGUAGAUAUUAGGAGGAACACCAGUGGCGAAGGCGGCUUACUGGACUGUAACUGACGUUGAGGCUCGAAAGCGUGGGGAGCAAACAGGAUUAGAUACCCCUGUAGUC